Non-coding RNA from Schistosoma rodhaini, 45 nucleotides. Lineage: Eukaryota; Metazoa; Platyhelminthes; Trematoda; Strigeidida; Schistosomatidae. The record is from Rfam.
AUCCAUCUGACGAGUCUCAAAUAGAACGAGACACGCGUUCUGGAU